RNAcentral lists this ribosomal RNA (448 nucleotides) under uncultured bacterium. RNAcentral's name for it is "partial 16S ribosomal RNA". It matches the Rfam family "Bacterial small subunit ribosomal RNA", at positions 329 to 794 of the family's 1533-position model. The record is from RNAcentral.
UGCCAGACUCCUACGGGAGGCAGCAGUGGGGAAUAUUGCACAAUGGGGGGAACCCUGAUGCAGCGACGCCGCGUGGGUGAAGAAGUCAUUCGUGACGUAAAGCCCUAUCAGCAGGGAAGAAAAUGACGGUACCUGACUAAGAAGCCCCGGCUAACUACGUGCCAGCAGCCGCGGUAAUACGUAGGGGGCGAGCGUUGUCCGGAAUCACUGGGCGUAAAGGGCGCGUAGGCGGUAAUAUAAGUCAGAUGUGAAAGGUGGGGGCUCAACCCCUAGAGUGCAACUGAUACUGUAUAACUUGAGUGUGAGAGAGGGAAGCGGAAUUCCUAGUGUAGCGGUGAAAUGCGUAGAUAUUAGGAGGAACACCAGUGGCGAAGGCGGCUUUCUGGCUCAUAACUGACGCUGAGGCGCGAAAGCGUGGGGAGCAAACAGGAUUAGAUACCCCAGUAUC